AGUGAACGCUGGCGGCGUGCUUAACACAUGCAAGUCGAACGAGAACGGAUUAUAGCUUGCUGUAAUUGUCAGCUAAGUGGCGCACGGGUGAGUAAUGUAUAGGUAAUAUGCCUCUUACUAAGGGAUAACAAAUGGAAACGUUUGCUAAUACCUUAUACUCCUUAUUAACAUAAGUUAAUAAGGGAAAGAUUUAUUGGUAAGAGAUUAGCCUGUAUUGUAUCAGUUAGUUGGUGGGGUAAUGGCUUACCAAGACUAUGACACAUAGCUGGUUUGAGAGGAUGAUCAGUCACACUGGAACUGAGACACGGUCCAGACUCCUACGGGAGGCAGCAGUGGGGAAUAUUGCACAAUGGACGGAAGUCUGAUGCAGCAACGCCGCGUGGAGGAUGACACAUUUCGGUGCGUAAACUCCUUUUAUAUGAGAAGAUAAUGACGGUAUUAUAUGAAUAAGCACCGGCUAACUCCGUGCCAGCCGCCGCCGUAA
RNAcentral lists this ribosomal RNA (484 nucleotides) under uncultured bacterium. RNAcentral describes it as "partial 16S ribosomal RNA". It matches the Rfam family "Bacterial small subunit ribosomal RNA", at positions 29 to 523 of the family's 1533-position model. The record is from RNAcentral.